CCCUUAGAUGUCCUGGGCCGCACGCGCGUUACACUGAUGCAUUCAACGAGCUUAUAACCUUGGCCGAGAGGCCUGGGCAAUCUUUUGAACCUGCAUCGUGAUAGGGAUAGAUUAUUGCAAUUAUUAAUCUUGAACGAGGAAUUCCUAGUAAACGCAGAUCAUCAAUCUGCAUUGAUUACGUCCCUGCCCUUUGUACACACCGCCCGCCGCACCUACCGAUUGAAUGGUCCGGUGAAGCCUCGGGAUUGUGGCGAGUUCCCUUUAUUGGGAGUUUGUCGCGAGAACUUGUCUAAACCUUAUCAUUUAGAGGAAGGUGAAGUCGUAACA
Molecule: ribosomal RNA, 327 nt
Filed under: uncultured eukaryote
Lineage: Eukaryota
Description: partial 18S ribosomal RNA
Rfam family: Eukaryotic small subunit ribosomal RNA
Source: RNAcentral